AUGAAGAGGUUGCAUCUCUUAUCAGUAACCCGCAACAGGUGAAUGAGCACCGAACGGCGGAGGAAAGGAAGGGAUGCCGAAACAGGUGCUGGCUUAUUCCAGCAGGCUGUUGGGCUAUGACUGAAUAAGUCAUGGACUGUCGCUAAAAUGCGGGGCGCUUCC
Molecule: non-coding RNA, 162 nt
Filed under: uncultured Limosilactobacillus sp.
Lineage: Bacteria; Bacillati; Bacillota; Bacilli; Lactobacillales; Lactobacillaceae
Description: Lysine riboswitch
Rfam family: Lysine riboswitch aptamer
About the family: Riboswitches are metabolite binding domains within certain messenger RNAs that serve as precision sensors for their corresponding targets.
Source: RNAcentral